UGGCAGGUACAGAGGGAUGCUACCGGGCGACCGGAUGCGGAUCUCGAAAGCCUGUCCCAGUUCGGACUGGAGUCUGCAACCCGACUCCACGAGGUUGGAUUCGCUAGUAAUCGCGCAUCAGCCAUGGCGCGGUGAAUACAUUCCCGGGCCUUGUACACACCGCCCGUCAAGCCAUGGGAGCCGGGGGCGCCUGAAGUCCGGGACCGCGAGGACCGGCCUAGGGCGAAACUGGUAACUGGGGCUAAGUCGUAACAAGGUAAC
This 261-nucleotide ribosomal RNA is filed under the name uncultured bacterium. Its description in RNAcentral is "partial 16S ribosomal RNA". It matches the Rfam family "Bacterial small subunit ribosomal RNA", at positions 1231 to 1500 of the family's 1533-position model. The record is from RNAcentral.